UGUGAUCAUACGGUCAAGAUCAAAUCGCGAUGAAUGGUCCAGAUUUAUUUCAUCUUUAAACGCGAUUAGACGGUCGAGAUCAAAUGCAAUGAACGACCCAGAUGUAAGGGAGAUGGGUAUAAAUAUCUUACAUCACAUCGAACUCAAAUCCUAGCCGUCGGCCCCUUAUCAGAGAAGAAAAACCAGUCGUUGGAGAAGGGAGCUGAUUACCGCCCGUCGCCGU
RNAcentral lists this long non-coding RNA (223 nucleotides) under Carica papaya (papaya). RNAcentral's name for it is "long non-coding RNA (CPAP_LNC009098)". Lineage: Eukaryota; Viridiplantae; Streptophyta; Magnoliopsida; Brassicales; Caricaceae. The record is from RNAcentral.